Phyllostomus hastatus (greater spear-nosed bat) is the source of this 596-nucleotide non-coding RNA. Lineage: Eukaryota; Metazoa; Chordata; Mammalia; Chiroptera; Phyllostomidae. The record is from the annotation of a RefSeq genome assembly.
GGCAGCUUAGCUCUGUAGCUGAAGCAUUUGUGAAGGUCAGUGAUGUCCCCGAGUCCCUGAGAGGCCGAGUUCUAUGUGCCCAACUGGAACUGGAAGACGUGAGAUUCUGUCCUGGACCCGAAAUGGUCACCAGGCUCUUCUUCUGCGCAGCUGUUUGCCUCCUGUGGGCAGGACACCUGGAUGCCGAAGUUACCCAGAGCCCAAGAAACAAGGUCACAGGGACAGGAAAGAAGGUGAUACUGAGUUGCAACCAGACUUAUGACCACAACUAUAUGUACUGGUAUCGACAAGAUCCGGGUCACGGGCUGAGGCUGAUCCAUUACUCCGCGGGUGUUGGGGUCAUCGACAAAGGAGAGGUCCCUGAUGGGUACAGUGUCUCUAGAUCAAAACAAGAAGACUUCCCCCUCACGCUGGAGUCGGCCACCCCCUCCCAGACAUCUGUGUACUUCUGUGCCAGCAGUGAACCCACAGUGCUGCACGGCCGCCUCCUCUCUGCACAGAAAGUGUCAGUAGAAAUCCUGAGGCUGCGCUCUGAUUCCUGGCCCAAACCCAAAGGAGUCCCUGCCAGUGUGGGGGCCUUAUGGCACUGGGCAUGA